GAUGAACGCUGGCGGCGUGCCUAACACAUGCAAGUCGAGCGAACAGAUGAGGAGCUUUCUCCUCUGACGUUAGCGGCGGACGGGUGAGUAACACGUAGAUACCCUACCUAUAAGACUGGGAUAACUACGGGGAACCGGAUCUCAUACCGGAUCAUAUAUUGAACCGGGUGGAUCAUUAGUUCUCGACCUUUUUGCUGUCCCUUUUAGCUUGAUCCGCGCCGGAUUGGCUAGUUGGUAAGGUAACGGCUUACCAAGGCAACGAUGCGUAGCCGACCUGAGAGGGUGAUCGGCCACACUGGAACUGAGACACGGUCCAGACUCCUACGGGAGGCAGCAGUAGGGAAUCUUGGGCAAUGGGCGAAAGCCUGAAGGAGCAAUGCCGCGUGAGUGAUGAAGGUCUUCGGAUCGUAAAGCUCUGUUAUUAGGGAAGAACAGAUGUGUGAGUAACUAUGGAUGUCUUGACGGUACCAAAUGAGAAAGCAACGGCUAACUACGUG
RNAcentral lists this ribosomal RNA (497 nucleotides) under uncultured bacterium. RNAcentral's name for it is "partial 16S ribosomal RNA". It matches the Rfam family "Bacterial small subunit ribosomal RNA", at positions 28 to 507 of the family's 1533-position model. The record is from RNAcentral.